ACAUAUAUAGAUCUACAAUAUAGGAUGGGGUAUGAGAGAAAAACAUAUAUAGGUCUACUGUAUAGGAUGGGGUAUGAGAGAAAAACAUAUAUAGAUCUACAAUAUAGGAUGGGGUAUGAGAGAAAAACAUAUAUAGAUCUACAAUAUAGGAUGGGGUAUGAGAGAAAAACAUAUAUAGAUCUACAAUAUAGGAUGGGGUAUGAGAGAAAAACAUAUAUAGGUCUACUGUAUAGGAUGGGGUAUGAGAGAAAAACAUAUAUAGAUCUACAAUAUAGGAUGGGGUAUGAGAGAAAAACAUAUAUAGAUCUACAAUAUAGGAUGGGGUAUGAGAGAAAAACAUAUAUAGGUCUACUGUAUAGGAUGGGGUAUGAGAGAAAAACAUAUAUAGAUCUACAAUAUAGGAUGGGGUAUGAGAGAAAAACAUAUAUAGGUCUACUGUAUAGGAUGGGGUAUGAGAGAAAAACAUAUAUAGGUCUACUGUAUAGGAUGGGGUAUGAGAGAAAAACAUAUAUAGAUCUACAAUAUAGGAUGGGGUAUGAGAGAAAAACAUAUAUAGGUCUACUGUAUAGGAUGGGGUAUGAGAGAAAAAAAUAUAUAGGUUGACUGUAUAGGAUGGGGUAUGAGAGAAAAACAUAUAUAGAUCUACAAUAUAGGAUGGGGUAUGAGAGAAAAACAUAUAUAGGUUUACUGUAUAGGAUGGGGUAUGAGAGAAAAACAUAUAUAGGUCUACUGUAUAGGAUGGGGUAUGAGAGAAAAACAUAUAUAGGUCUACUGUAUAGGAUGGGGUAUGAGAGAAAAAAAUAUAUAGGUCUACUAUAUAGGAUGGGGUAUGAGAGAAAAACAUAUAAAGGUCUACUAUAUAUGAUGAGCUAUGAGAGAGAAAAAAAACAUAUAUAGGUCUCCUAUAUAUAGGAUGGGCUAUUAUAGAGAGGUGAUAUAAUUUUGGUGUCACCAUGAAAAAUUAUAAACAGACACUUGCAGUUUAACUUUUUAUUUGUUGUCUGGUUAAUCCUGUUUUUGUUGGUUGGAUAUUAUGGUCUGCAACCUUUAGCAGAUGUUCACACAAGCCAUUGUUAGGAAGCUAGGUACAAACAGCCCAGUGAAAUAGUUUAUAAUGAAAAAGUCUUGACCGAUGGUUGUAUACAUACAUGUUCCAUGCAUAAGUCAUGAUUUUCAAAAUAUUAGUCCACAGACUUGUCAUCAACAUAUACAAACUUUCUUAUAAAUGUACAAUAUAGCUUGAUUUCCAGCAGCUAUAGUAAAUCCUACAUUUUCAGACAGUGUAGAAAGAAUUUUAUACUGGUUUGUUUUGGUUAAAAGAAAUACCUUAGGCAAUAAACAUUCAAUUAAUUUACAACACAGAAUAAGUUAAUUUGAUAAACAAAUAAUGAUUAUUUCACAACUGUCCUGUCCAUUUAUUUCAAUUAUCUCAGGUACUUAAAAUUAAGAGAAAGUGCUCUCUUACCAUGUUUACAUGUAAAAGUUAUUAUACAUUAAUUCACAUACAGGUGGUAAUUGAUUUUUUACUCCCAUUCUAUUGUAGCUGUAAUUAACCUGUAGAACGCCUGAGGUAGAUAAAAACCUUUGAUCCUACAGGUGUUCAGGAGGUAGGCUAAACUGCUGUCAUGAUAAAGAUAUUAUCAAUAUGGUCAGGUUUGGGUCAACCUAAAGUGGACAAAUGUUAAUCUCUAAUGAACUGUAAAUUAAUUUAGUGAAUGACUUAAAAUUUCAAAUUUUUUACUAAAAUGGAUUAGUAGAGGUUGAUGAGGCCAAAUAGAAUUAAUUUUAUUAUACAUCCUCUCUUUUUGCGUUAUUUUUUGCACACUGCAAAUGAAUUUGUGAAAGUAUUAGAAUAAAAAAAUAUGGAUUGUCUGCAUCCUCAUAUAAAUUUUU
This is a long non-coding RNA of Mytilus californianus (California mussel), 1893 nucleotides long. RefSeq lists it as uncharacterized. NCBI's taxonomy places the organism in Eukaryota, Metazoa, Mollusca, Bivalvia, Mytilida, Mytilidae. The record is from RefSeq and is a predicted model, not a curated record. The transcript has 6 exons.